GACGAACGCUGGCGGCGCGCCUAACACAUGCAAGUCGAGCGAGAACCGGCCCUUCGGGGCCGGGGACGGCGGCGAACGGGUGAGUAACACGUGGGUAAUCUGCCCUCGGCACCGGGAUAGCCCGGGGAAACCCGGAUUAAUACCGGAUGGCCUUUCGAGUCCUCGGACUCGAAUGAAAAGGUAGCUUCGGCCUCCGGCCGAGGAUGAGCCCGCGGCCGAUUAGCUUGUUGGUGAGGUAACGGCUCACCAAGGCUCCGANCGGUAGCUGGUCUGAGAGGACGAUCAGCCACACUGGGACUGAGACACGGCCCAGACUCCUACGGGAGGCAGCAGUGGGGAAUCUUGCGCAAUGGGCGAAAGCCUGACGCAGCGACGCCGUGUGCGGGAAGAAGGCCUUC
Molecule: ribosomal RNA, 398 nt
Filed under: uncultured bacterium
Lineage: Bacteria
Description: bacterial SSU rRNA
Rfam family: Bacterial small subunit ribosomal RNA
Source: RNAcentral